This 845-nucleotide ribosomal RNA is filed under the name uncultured ANME-2 cluster archaeon. RNAcentral describes it as "bacterial SSU rRNA". It matches the Rfam family "Archaeal small subunit ribosomal RNA", at positions 24 to 872 of the family's 1478-position model. The record is from RNAcentral. Lineage: Archaea; Methanobacteriati; Methanobacteriota; Methanomicrobia; Methanosarcinales.
CUACUGCUAUCGGGGUCCGACUAAGCCAUGCGAGUUGAGAGGGGUAAGCCCUCAGCAUAUUGCUCAGUAACACGCGGAUAACCUGCCCUUGGGUUUGGGAUAACCCCGGGAAACUGGGACUAAUACCGGAUAGAUCAAAGAUACUGGAAUGUUCUUUGUUCGAAAGCUCCGGCGCCCAAGGAUGGGUCUGCGGCCUAUCAGGUAGUAGUGGGUGUAACGUACCUACUAGCCUACGACGGGUAAGGGUUGUGAGAGCAAGAGCCCUGAGAUGGAUUCUGAGACAUGAAUCCAGGCCCUACGGGGUGCGGCAGGCGCGAAAACUUUACACUGCGGGAAACCGCGAUAAGGGGACCCCGAGUGCCAGCACCUAGUGCUGGCUGUCCAGCUGUUCAAAAAACAGUUGUUAGCAAGGGCCGGGCAAGACCGGUGCCAGCCGCCGCGGUAACACCGGCGGCCCGAGUGGUAGCCGUUAUUAUUGGGUUUAAAGGGUCCGUAGCCGGCCUAUUAAGUCUCUUGGGAAAUCUGGCGACUCAAUCGUCAGGCGUCCAAGAGAUACUGGUAGGCUUGGGACCGGGAGAGGUGGGAAGUACUCCAGGGGUAGGGGUGAAAUCUCGUAAUCCUUGGGGGACCACCGAUGGCGAAGGCAUCCCACCAGAACGGGUCCGACGGUGAGGGACGAAAGCUGGGGGCACGAACCGGAUUAGAUACCCGGGUAGUCCCAGCUGUAAACGAUGCUCGCUAGGUGUCAGGUGCGGUGCGACCGCAUUUGGUGCCGUAGUGAAAACUUGAAGCGAGUCACCUGGGAAGUACGGUCGCAAGGCUGAAACUUAAAAGGAAUUGGCGGG